RNAcentral lists this ribosomal RNA (252 nucleotides) under Bacillus thuringiensis. RNAcentral's name for it is "partial 16S ribosomal RNA". It matches the Rfam family "Bacterial small subunit ribosomal RNA", at positions 428 to 675 of the family's 1533-position model. The record is from RNAcentral. Lineage: Bacteria; Bacillati; Bacillota; Bacilli; Caryophanales; Bacillaceae.
AAACUCUGGGUUAGUCAGAACAAGUGCUAGUUGAAUAAGCUGGCACCUUGACGGUACCUAACCAGAAAGCCUCGGCUAACUACGUGCCAGCAGCCUCGGUAAUACGUAGGUGGCAAGCGUUAUCCGGAAUUAUUGGGCGUAAAGCGCGCGCAGGUGGUUUCUUAAGUCGGAUGUGAAAGCCCACGGCUCAACCGUGGAGGGUCAUUGGAAACUGGGAGACGGAGUUCAGAAGAGGAAACGUAUCCCCAUGGA